ACCGAAUAGAUACUCUGGUAGUCCACGCCCUAAACGAUGCGAACUGGAUGUUGGGUACAUUACGGUACUCAGUGUCGAAAGCUAACGCGUUAAGUUCGCCGCCUGGGGAGUACGGUCGCAAGACUGAAACUCAAAGGAAUUGACGGGGGCCCGCACAAGCGGUGGAGUAUGUGGUUUAAAUUCGAUGCAACGCGAAGAACCUUACCUGGCCUUGACAUCUGUCGAAUCCUGCAGAGAUGCGGGAGUGCCGCAAGGAACGACAAGACAGGUGCUGCAUGGCUGUCGUCAGCUCGUGUCGUGAGAUGUUGGGUUUAAGUCCCGCAACGAGCGCAACCCUUGUCCCUAGUUGCCAGCACGUAAUGGUGGGAACUCUAGGGAGACUGCCGGUGACGAACCGGAGGAAGGUGGGGAUGACGUCAAGUCCUCAUGGCCCUUACGGCCAGGGCUACACACGUACUACAAUGGUCGGUACAGAGGGUUGCGAAGCCGCGAGGCGAAGCCAAUCCCAGAAAACCGAUCCCAGUCCGGAUUGGAGUCUGC
RNAcentral lists this ribosomal RNA (540 nucleotides) under uncultured bacterium. RNAcentral describes it as "bacterial SSU rRNA". It matches the Rfam family "Bacterial small subunit ribosomal RNA", at positions 772 to 1308 of the family's 1533-position model. The record is from RNAcentral.